RNAcentral lists this ribosomal RNA (468 nucleotides) under uncultured bacterium. RNAcentral's name for it is "bacterial SSU rRNA". It matches the Rfam family "Bacterial small subunit ribosomal RNA", at positions 28 to 524 of the family's 1533-position model. The record is from RNAcentral.
GAUGAACGCUGGCGGCGUGCCUAACACAUGCAAGUCGAGCGAUUCUCUUCGGAGAAGAGCGGCGGACGGGUGAGUAACGCGUGGGUAACCUGCCCUGUACACACGGAUAACAUACCGAAAGGUAUGCUAAUACGAGAUAAUAUGCUUUUAUCGCAUGGUAGAAGUAUCAAAGCUCCGGCGGUACAGGAUGGACCCGCGUCUGAUUAGCUAGUUGGUAAGGUAACGGCUUACCAAGGCGACGAUCAGUAGCCGACCUGAGAGGGUGAUCGGCCACAUUGGAACUGAGACACGGUCCAAACUCCUACGGGAGGCAGCAGUGGGAAUAUUGCACAAUGGGCGAAAGCCUGAUGCAGCAACGCCGCGUGAGCGAUGAAGGCCUUCGGGUCGAAAAGCUCUGUCCUCAAGGAAGAUAAUGACGGUACUUGAGGAGGAAGCCCCGGCUAACUACGUGCCAGCAGCCGCGGUAAU